UUUAAAAGGUAGAUUUUCCCUCUGUGGUUACGUGCUUGAUGGUUAAUCAUAGAGGAAAAUCCACGUUUUCAG
Molecule: non-coding RNA, 72 nt
Organism: Erinaceus europaeus (western European hedgehog)
Lineage: Eukaryota; Metazoa; Chordata; Mammalia; Eulipotyphla; Erinaceidae
Source: Rfam